This 500-nucleotide ribosomal RNA is filed under the name uncultured bacterium. Its description in RNAcentral is "partial 16S ribosomal RNA". It matches the Rfam family "Bacterial small subunit ribosomal RNA", at positions 30 to 523 of the family's 1533-position model. The record is from RNAcentral.
AUUGAACGCUGGCGGCAUGCCUUACACAUGCAAGUCGAACGGUAACAGGGAGCUUGCUCCGCUGACGAGUGGCGAACGGGUGAGUAAUGUAUCGGAACGUACCUUUUAGUGGGGGAUAACGUAGCGAAAGUUACGCUAAUACGGCAUAUUCUCUGAGGAGGAAAGCAGGGGACCUUCGGGCCUUGCGCUAAUAGAGCGGCUGAUAUCAGAUUAGCUAGUUGGUGAGGUAAAGGCUCACCAAGGCGACGAUCUGUCGCGGGUCUGAGAGGAUGAUCCGCCACACUGGAACGGAGACACAGGCCAGACUCCUACGGGAGGCAGCAGUGGGGAAUGUUGGACAAUGGGGGCAACCCUGAUCCAGCCAUGCCGCGUGAGUGAAGAAGGCCUUCGGGUUGUAAAGCCCUUUCGGCCGGGAAAAAAUCGCAUGGGUUAAUACCCUGUGUGGAUGAUGGUACCGGAAUAAGAAGCACCGGCUAACUACGUGCCAGCCGCCGCAGUAA